AGGGCACCACCAGGAGUGGAGCCUGCGGCUUAAUUUGACUCAACACGGGGAAACUCACCCGGCCCGGACACCGGAAGGAUUGACAGAUUGAUAGCUCUUUCUUGAUUCGGUGGAUGGUGGUGCAUGGCCGUUCUUAGUUGGUGGAGCGAUCUGUCUGGUUAAUUCCGAUAACGAACGAGACUCUAGCCUAUUAAAUAGACGUCGGGUUCUCUGCACUCGACGGUCUUCUUAGAGGGACAAGGUGCUUUUAGCACCGCGAAACAGAGCAAUAACAGGUCUGUGAUGCCCUUAGAUGUCCGGGGCCGCACGCGCGCUACACUGAAGGAAGCAGCGUGUAACAACCUUGUUCUAACGAACUGGGUAACCCGUGGAACUUCCUUCAUGAUCGGGAUAGGGGUUUGCAAUUGUGCCCCUUGAACGAGGAAUUUCUAGUAAGUGUGAGUCAUAAGCUCACGUUGAUUACGUCCCUGCCCUUUGUACACACCGCCCGUCGCUACUACCGAUUGGAAGGUUCAGUGA
RNAcentral lists this ribosomal RNA (519 nucleotides) under uncultured eukaryote. Its description in RNAcentral is "SSU rRNA". It matches the Rfam family "Eukaryotic small subunit ribosomal RNA", at positions 1161 to 1704 of the family's 1831-position model. The record is from RNAcentral.